RNAcentral lists this ribosomal RNA (575 nucleotides) under uncultured archaeon. Its description in RNAcentral is "bacterial SSU rRNA". It matches the Rfam family "Archaeal small subunit ribosomal RNA", at positions 62 to 642 of the family's 1478-position model. The record is from RNAcentral.
AAGGACUUNNGUCCUUGGCAGACGGCUCCCUAACACGUGGAGAACCUGCCCUCAGGAGGGGGAUAACCCCGGGAAACUGGGAAUAAUACCCCAUAGGUCUAGGAUGCUGGAAUGCUUCUAGGCCGAAAGCUCCGGCGCCUGAGGAUGGCUCUGCGGCUUAUCAGGUUGUAGUGAGGGUAACGUCCUCACUAGCCUAUGACGGGUACGGGCCCUGAGAGGGGAAGCCCGGAGAUGGACUCUGAGACACGAGUCCAGGCCCUACGGGGCGCAGCAGGCGCGAAAACUCCGCAAUGCUCGAAAGAGUGACGGGGGGAUUCCAAGUGCCUACGCUCAGCGUAGGCUGUUCAGAUGCCUAAAAAGCAUCUGGAGUAAGGGCUGGGUAAGACGGGUGCCAGCCGCCGCGGUAAUACCCGCAGCUCGAGUGGUAGUCGAUUUUAUUGGGCCUAAAGCGUCCGUAUCCGGUCUGGUAAAUGCUUGGGUAAAUCGUGGGGCUCAACCCUACGAAUUCCNGGUAGACUGCCAGACUUGGGACCGGUUGANGAAGAGGGUACUUCAGGGGUAGGAGUGAAAUCCUG